GGGAAAGCACCAACGCACCAGAUUAACGUUUUCUUCAUUCAGUCAUACUACCGCCCUCUGCAGCACCAGACUGCAUCACGCAUGGCAGCUCCGGCGGCGCAGCCGCCGCCAAAGACCGUCCUGCGGGUGGCGGCGAUCUCCGGCUCGCUGCGCAGGGCGUCGGCCAACACCGGCCUCAUCCGCGCCGCCGCGGAGAUCUGCGGGGAGUCCAUCCCGGGCCUGCACAUCGACCACGUCGACAUCUCGGAGCUGCCGCUGCUCAACACCGACCUCGAGGCCGGCGGCCGGUUCCCGCCGGCCGUCGAGGCGUUCCGCGACAAGGUCCGCGCGGCCGAUUGCUUCCUCUUCGCCUCGCCCGAGUACAACUACUCCAUUUCAGGGCCUCUGAAGAACGCGCUGGACUGGGGAUCACGGCCGCCCAACUGCUGGGCCGACCGAGCCGCGGCGAUGCUGAGCGCGUCGGGCGGCUCCGGCGGCAGCCGGUCGCAGUACCACAUCCGGCAGGUCGGGGUGUUUCUUGACAUCCACUUCAUCAACAGGCCGGAGGUCUUCACCAAGGCACACCUGCCCCCGAGAAAGUUCGACGCGGACGGCAACCUCAUCGACUCGGAGACCAAGGAGCAGGUCAGGAAGAUGCUCCUCUCGCUGCAAGCCUUCGCACUCAGGCUCCAGGGUGCAGACUCUGUCUGAACAGGGGAACUGAUGCCUGAAUUUGUUUCUUCAGACGAACGGUGGUGCUCUGCUCGUUAGAUGGACUGAGCAGAUCGUCACAAACUCCAAAUGCGAAAGCCAUAUACUGGUUGAUGCUCCAUGAUAUCUGGAAUAAUUCUUCAUCUGCGACUGAACAUUCCGGUGGCACAGUAAUGCAAAUCUAUUUUUAUUAUCUUGCCCCUUGGUAAUUUUGUUAAGUAACUAUGCCCGCUCAAAAUGGAGCGCCCUCCUUCACUCGCUCCGUGGAGCCCUCUCCUCGCUC
RNAcentral lists this ribosomal RNA (973 nucleotides) under Triticum aestivum (bread wheat). Its description in RNAcentral is "partial small subunit ribosomal RNA". Lineage: Eukaryota; Viridiplantae; Streptophyta; Magnoliopsida; Poales; Poaceae. The record is from RNAcentral.